Molecule: ribosomal RNA, 319 nt
Filed under: uncultured eukaryote
Lineage: Eukaryota
Description: partial 18S ribosomal RNA
Rfam family: Eukaryotic small subunit ribosomal RNA
Source: RNAcentral
CCCUUAGAUGGUCUGGGCGGCACGCGCGCUACAAUGAUGCAUUCAAAAAGUCUUCUGACCUUAUAAGGUUGGGUAUUCUCCAAAGUGCAUCGUGAUGGGAAUAGUUUAUUGCAAUUUUUAAUCUUGAACGAGGAAUUCCUAGUAAGUACAGGUCAUCAACUUGUGUUGAUUACGUCCCUGCCCUUUGUACACACCGCCCGUCGCUCCUACUGAUUGAGUGUCUCGGUGAAUUCUUUGAUCUUCUGUCGAUUCAGUUCACUGAUCCGACGGUGGAAAGUUGAAUGAACUUCGUCACUUAGAGGAAGGAGAAGUCGUAACA